CCUACGGGUGGCAGCAGUGAGGAAUAUUGGUCAAUGGGCGAGAGCCUGAACCAGCCAAGUAGCGUGCAGGAUGACGGCCCUACGGGUUGUAAACUUCUUUUAUACGGGAAUAAAACGCCUUACGUGUGGGUCUUUGCAUGUACCGUAUGAAUAAGGACCGGCUAAUUCCGUGCCAGCAGCCGCGGUAAUACGGAAGAUCCGGGCGUUAUCCGGAUUUAUUGGGUUUAAAGGGAGCGUAGAUGGCAUGUCAAGCGUGCUGUGAAAUUUUCGGGCUCAACCCGGGCCUUGCAAUGCGAACUGGCGGGCUUGAGUACGCGUAAAGCAGGCGGAAUUCGUCGUGUAGCGGUGAAAUGCUUAGAUAUGACGAAGAACCCCGAUUGCGAAGGCAGCUUGCUGCAGCGGAACUGACGCUGAUGCUCGAAAGUGUGGGUAUCGAACAGGAUUAGAUACCCUUGUAGUC
RNAcentral lists this ribosomal RNA (460 nucleotides) under uncultured bacterium. Its description in RNAcentral is "partial 16S ribosomal RNA". It matches the Rfam family "Bacterial small subunit ribosomal RNA", at positions 338 to 795 of the family's 1533-position model. The record is from RNAcentral.